RNAcentral lists this ribosomal RNA (204 nucleotides) under uncultured Bacteroidota bacterium. Its description in RNAcentral is "uncultured Bacteroidetes bacterium partial 16S ribosomal RNA". It matches the Rfam family "Bacterial small subunit ribosomal RNA", at positions 307 to 503 of the family's 1533-position model. The record is from RNAcentral. Lineage: Bacteria; Pseudomonadati; Bacteroidota.
GCCACACUGGAACUGAGACACGGUCCAGACUCCUACGGGAGGCAGCAGUGGGGAAUCUUCCGCAAUGGACGAAAGUCUGACGGAGCAACGCCGCGUGAGUGAUGACGGCCUUCGGGUUGUAAAGCUCUGUGAUCGGGGACGAAUGGCUGGUAUGCUAAUACCAUAUCAGAGGACGGUACCCGAAUAGCAAGCCACGGCUAACUA